Molecule: ribosomal RNA, 395 nt
Filed under: Triticum aestivum (bread wheat)
Lineage: Eukaryota; Viridiplantae; Streptophyta; Magnoliopsida; Poales; Poaceae
Description: partial small subunit ribosomal RNA
Source: RNAcentral
CUACAAUAUGCGUUAUAAACCACGAGUCCUUUUCACGAAUGUAGCACCUGAAGCUCAUUCAGCUGGUCUAUUAACAACCCAGGCACCUUGCAAGUUGAUAGUAAACGUGGGCCAGAAGCUGGUCUAUAACACAAACGCAUUUAUAUAGGUUAAACCACGGGAGAUUUUAUUUAGGGGUUUACAUGCAUGGCAUGGCACCUGCUCUGCUCAUGCAGGCAGGUGCGUACAUACAUACAAAGACCCUCGAUCAGGUAGCGUUACAUGGUAAGUAGAUGGAUGGAUCGAUCAAAGAUAUGAUGCACGCGGUGCAUGCAUGACCGAUGAUGGAUCUAGCAACUGCAGCAGGAGCAGCCGCAGCUGGUGCCGCACUUGCACUGGGUGCAGCCGCAGCCGCC